Molecule: ribosomal RNA, 505 nt
Filed under: uncultured bacterium
Lineage: Bacteria
Description: bacterial SSU rRNA
Rfam family: Bacterial small subunit ribosomal RNA
Source: RNAcentral
GAUGAACGCUAGCGGCAGGCUUAACACAUGCAAGUCGAGGGGCAGCACGUCUUCGGAUGGUGGCGACCGGCGCACGGGUGAGUAACGCGUAUGCAAUCUACCUUUUACAGGGGCAUAGCCCGGGGAAACCCGGAUUAAUAUCCUAUAGUACCAUUAUAUAGCAUUAUAUUAUGGUUAAAGUUUUGGCGGUAAAAGAUGAGCAUGCGUCCUAUUAGCUUGAUGGUAAGGUAACGGCUUACCAUGGCUAUGAUAGGUAGGGGUCCUGAGAGGGAGACCCCCCACACUGGUACUGAGACACGGACCAGACUCCUACGGGAGGCAGCAGUGAGGAAUAUUGGACAAUGGGCGCAAGCCUGAUCCAGCCAUGCUGCGUGCAGGAAGACGGCCCUAUGGGUUGUAAACUGCUUUUAUACGGGAAGAAACACCCCUUCGUGAAGGGACUUGACGGUACCGUAUGAAUAAGGAUCGGCUAACUCCGUGCCAGCAGCCGCGGUAAUACGGAGGA